This 1626-nucleotide ribosomal RNA is filed under the name Clostridioides difficile. RNAcentral's name for it is "23S ribosomal RNA". It matches the Rfam family "Bacterial large subunit ribosomal RNA", at positions 1281 to 2925 of the family's 2925-position model. Lineage: Bacteria; Bacillati; Bacillota; Clostridia; Peptostreptococcales; Peptostreptococcaceae. The record is from RNAcentral.
GGCGGUAUAGCUUAGUUGGCUAGAGCGUUCGGUUCAUACCCGAAAGGUCAUAGGUUCGACUNGGUUUCCAGGGGAAGGUUCGUCCGCCCUGGGUUAGUCGGGACCUAAGCUGAGGCCGAAAGGCGUAGGUGAUGGACAACAGGUUGAUAUUCCUGUACUACCGAUAACCGUUUGAGAGAAGGGAUGACACAGUAGGAUAAGCUAAGCACACUGUUGGUUAUGUGUGCCCAAGCAUUGAGGCAGUCAAAGUAGGCAAAUCCGCUUUGAUAAUGCUGGGAUGUGAUGGGGAGCGAAAUUUAGUAGCGAAGUAGCUGAUUUCACACUGUCAAGAAAAGUCUCUAUCGAGGUUAAAGGUACCCGUACCGCAAACCGACACAGGUGGGUGAGGAGAGUAUCCUAAGGCCAGCGAGAGAACUGUUGUUAAGGAACUCGGCAAAAUGACCCCGUAACUUAGGGAUAAGGGGUGCCACCAUCAGGUGGCCGCAGAGAAUAGGCCCAAGCGACUGUUUACCAAAAACAUAGGUUUCUGCUAAGUCGCAAGACGAUGUAUAGGAGCUGACGCCUGCCCGGUGCUGGAAGGUUAAGGGGAUCUGUUAGAGCAAUCGAAGCAGUGAACUUAAGCCCCAGUAAACGGCGGCCGUAACUAUAACGGUCCUAAGGUAGCGAAAUUCCUUGUCGGGUAAGUUCCGACCCGCACGAAAGGCGUAACGAUUUGGGCACUGUCUCAACAACAGACUCGGUGAAAUUGUAAUUCCGGUGAAGAUGCCGGAUACCUGCGACAGGACGGAAAGACCCCAUGGAGCUUUACUGUAGCUUGACAUUGGGUCUUGGUACUACAUGUACAGGAUAGGUGGGAGGCUUUGAAACCAGGACGCCAGUUUUGGCGGAGCCAUCCUUGGGAUACCACCCUUGUAGUACUGGGACUCUAACCAUAGGCCAUGAAUCUGGUCUUGGGACACUGUCAGGUGGGCAGUUUGACUGGGGCGGUCGCCUCCCAAAAGGUAACGGAGGCGCUCAAAGGUUCUCUCAGUACGGUCGGAAAUCGUACGUAGAGUGUAAAGGCAAAAGAGAGCUUGAUUGCAAGACAUACAGGUCGAGCAAGGAUGAAAAUCGGACUUAGUGAUCCGGUGGUUCUGCGUGGAAGGGCCAUCGCUCAACGGAUAAAAGCUACCCUGGGGAUAACAGGCUUAUCUCCCCCAAGAGUCCACAUCGACGGGGAGGUUUGGCACCUCGAUGUCGGCUCAUCACAUCCUGGGGCUGUAGUAGGUCCCAAGGGUUGGGCUGUUCGCCCAUUAAAGUGGUACGCGAGCUGGGUUCAGAACGUCGUGAGACAGUUCGGUCCCUAUCCGUCGCAGGCGUAGGAAAUUUGAGAAGACCUGUCCUUAGUACGAGAGGACCGGGAUGGACGUACCUCUGGUGUACCAGUUGUCCUGCCAAGGGCAUGGCUGGGUAGCUAUGUACGGAAUGGAUAAGCGCUGAAAGCAUCUAAGCGCGAAGCCAACUUCAAGAUAAGAUUUCCCACCGCAAGGGUAAGACCCCAGAAAGACUAUCUGGUUGAUAGGUCGAAGGUGUAAGUGCAGUAAUGUAUUUAGCUUAUCGAUACUAAUAGGUCGAGGACUUGACCAA